AUUGAACGCUGGCAGCAUGCUUUACACAUGCAAGUCGAACGGUAACAGGCCGCAAGGUGCUGACGAGUGGCGAACGGGUGAGUAAUGCAUCGGAACGUGCCCAGUCGUUGGGGAUAACUACUCGAAAGAGUAGCUAAUACCGCAUACGAUCUAUUGAUGAAAGCGGGGGACCGUAAGGCCUCGCGCGAUUGGAGCGUCCGAUGUCAGAUUAGGUAGUUGGUGGGGUAAAGGCUCACCAAGCCAACGAUCUGUAGCUGGUCUGAGAGGACAACCAGCCACACUGGGACUGAGACACGGCCCAGACUCCUACGGGAGGAAGCAGUGGGGAAUUUUGGACAAUGGGCGAAAGCCUGAUCAAGAAAUGCCGCGUGCAGGAAGAAGGCCUUCGGGUUGUAAACUGCUUUUGUACGGAACGAAAAGGAUCUGGUUAAUACCCGGGGCUAAUGACGGUACCGUAAGAAUAAGCACCGGCUAACUACGUG
This 482-nucleotide ribosomal RNA is filed under the name uncultured bacterium. RNAcentral describes it as "partial 16S ribosomal RNA". It matches the Rfam family "Bacterial small subunit ribosomal RNA", at positions 30 to 507 of the family's 1533-position model. The record is from RNAcentral.